Molecule: ribosomal RNA, 390 nt
Filed under: Triticum aestivum (bread wheat)
Lineage: Eukaryota; Viridiplantae; Streptophyta; Magnoliopsida; Poales; Poaceae
Description: partial small subunit ribosomal RNA
Source: RNAcentral
AUGAAAAUUAUUAGCUGGAACUGCUGGGGACUCGGGAACAACCCAACAGUUCGAUCGCUCAUCAAGUUGGGGAGAGUGGAGGAUCCUGAUGUGCUUUUCUUGGCAGAGACGAGGCUCACUGAGAAUUAGUUGGAUAGGUUCCGCUGGAUGCUUGGGCUUAAAAAUAUGACGGCCUGGAAUCCAGUGGGUAGAAGUCGAGGGGUUGCAAUGUUCUGCAGGAGAGGGUUGGACGUGUCACUUUGCUUGUAUGGAAGGAUACAUGUAGAUGAUGAUGUCAUAGAGGAAGAUGGCUCGAUAUGGCGUCUGACGGGCGCGUAUGGGGAGUCAGCAACGGAGAGGAAGAAGGAUACAUGGAGAAUCCUCAAGUUACUCAAACAACAGCACCAAUAG